Molecule: long non-coding RNA, 290 nt
Filed under: Anser brachyrhynchus (Pink-footed goose)
Lineage: Eukaryota; Metazoa; Chordata; Aves; Anseriformes; Anatidae
Description: lncRNA (ENSABRG00000019737.1)
Source: RNAcentral
CAGCAGGGUAAAAUAGGAGAGCAAACAGACUGGGGGCAACUCCCUCUCUCCCCUGACCAUUUUCGCUGACUUCUUGAGUUACUGUAGCAUCGCUUUCUCUUCCCACCUGUGCUGUCAGAUCCUCUUCUUACCCCAACUUGCCUUUCAAACUUGCAGAGCUGAGCAGACCACAAGAUGGCAAGGCUGUACCGAACAUGCCCGGGACAAGUGCUGCGGAUGCAACAGGUACAUGAAGGUCUGAAGGAACAAGCUGAGGAUCUACAAAAUCAGAGAUUGCUUCUGAGAGCAAA